CCGGGCGUACGGGUGAGUAACACGUAUCCAACCUGCCGUCUACUCUUGGCCAGCCUUCUGAAAGGAAGAUUAAUCCAGGAUGGCAUCAUGAGUUCACAUGUCCGCAUGAUUAAAGGUAUUUUCCGGUAGACGAUGGGGAUGCGUUCCAUUAGAUAGUAGGCGGGGUAACGGCCCACCUAGUCAACGAUGGAUAGGGGUUCUGAGAGGAAGGUCCCCCACAUUGGAACUGAGACACGGUCCAA
Molecule: ribosomal RNA, 242 nt
Filed under: uncultured bacterium
Lineage: Bacteria
Description: partial 16S ribosomal RNA
Rfam family: Bacterial small subunit ribosomal RNA
Source: RNAcentral